ACCCUACGAGACGCCUCGCCAGGUGCCGGGGACGUCUCCCGACGUGCCAGUUCUUCCUGUUUGUGCCAGAGACGUCUCUGGGACAAACCGGAGACGUCUCGGCUGUCCCUGAUCUGUUUUCUUCAACUUAAAAAAUUCUUCAAUAAAUUCAUAAAAAUUAUGGGAACUUGCCUAGACAUUUCUUAACAAUAUUCUUAAUUAAACACCUGAAAUUCUCAAAUAAAUUGUUAAGAUAAAUGGCAUUAUACUCUAGUGUUUUGUAUUCAUCAAAAUCCAUUAGGGGGUCAACAAUCUCCCCCUUUUUGAUGAUGACAAAACACUGAGUAUAUGCAAAAUUCGAAAUUUAAACAUAUACACAGUAUUUGAUCAGAUGUACAAGUAUAAUGUUUUGAUUUGAGCUAGAUAUAGCGUGCAUAAUUCAAAAUAGUCAACUUUCAGUUCUAUCCUUAUGCAUAAGAUUGAUCUUAAUAGCUCUUAAGCAAUUUUAGCAUAUCAACUGAAUUUGAAUCAAGUUAAAAUUUAAAUUAAUGAAAUAUUGAUGCUAAAGACAAUUGAAGGCUAAGUUCUUUUUGACUCCCCCUUUCUUUUCCAGAAGGGCAAUUGUCUUAAGGCCAAUAUU
This 619-nucleotide long non-coding RNA is filed under the name Phoenix dactylifera (date palm). RNAcentral describes it as "long non-coding RNA (PDAC_LNC019872)". The record is from RNAcentral. Lineage: Eukaryota; Viridiplantae; Streptophyta; Magnoliopsida; Arecales; Arecaceae.